GAUGAACGCUGGCGGCGUGCCUAAUACAUGCAAGUCGAGCGAACAGACGAGGAGCUUGCUCCUCUGACGUUAGCGGCGGACGGGUGAGUAACACGUGGAUAACCUACCUAUAAGACUGGGAUAACUUCGGGAAACCGGAGCUAAUACCGGAUAAUAUAUUGAACCGCAUGGUUCAAUAGUGAAAGACGGUUUUGCUGUCACUUAUAGAUGGAUCCGCGCCGCAUUAGCUAGUUGGUAAGGUAACGGCUUACCAAGGGGACGAUGCGUAGCCGAUCUGAGAGGGUGAUCAGCCACACUGGAACUGAGACACGGUCCAGACUCCUACGGGAGGCAGCAGUAGGGAAUCUUCCGCAAUGGGCGAAAGCCUGACGGAGCAACGCCGCGUGAGUGAUGAAGGUCUUCGGAUCGUAAAACUCUGUUAUUAGGGAAGAACAAAUGUGUAAGUAACUAUGCACGUCUUGACGGUACCUAAUCAGAAAGCCACGGCUAACUACGUG
This 497-nucleotide ribosomal RNA is filed under the name uncultured bacterium. Its description in RNAcentral is "partial 16S ribosomal RNA". It matches the Rfam family "Bacterial small subunit ribosomal RNA", at positions 28 to 507 of the family's 1533-position model. The record is from RNAcentral.